UGCGGUUAUACAAAAAUUAAAUUAAAUUUUUUUAGGAUUUAAUAAAUAAAUAUAUAAAUUAAUAAUUUAAAUUUUAAAUUAUAAAGUGAAAUUUUAAUUUAAUUAAAAUUUAUUUAUUUUUAUGAUAUUAAUAGAUUUUGUAAAAAACUAGGAUUAGAUACCCUACUAUAAAAAUUUAAAUUUAAUAAUCUUGAAAUAGUAUAUAAUUUUUUAUAGAAACUUAAAUAAUUUGGCGGUAUUUUAGUUCAUUUAGAGGAAUCUGUCUAAUAAUUGAUAAUCCACGAUUAAAUUUACUUAAUUUUUAAUUUUGUAUAUCGUUGUUAAAAAAAUAUUUUUAAAUAAAUAUAAUAUUUUAAAAUUUAUAUAAAAAAUUAAAUCAGAUCAAGAUGCAGAUUAUAAUUAAGAAUAUGAUGGAUUACAAUAAAUUUUAUUUUUGAAUAUUAAUUUGUAAAAAUUAAUUGAAAUUGGAUUUAAAUGUAAUUUUAUUUAUUUAAUUAAAAUGAUUUUAAAUUAAAAUAUGUACAUAUUGCCCGUCGCUUUCAUUAAUAAAUUGAAAUAAGUCGUAACAAAGUAGAGGUACUGGAAAGUGUUUCUAGAAAGAU
Molecule: ribosomal RNA, 602 nt
Filed under: Zygaena lonicerae leonensis
Lineage: Eukaryota; Metazoa; Arthropoda; Insecta; Lepidoptera; Zygaenidae
Description: partial 12S ribosomal RNA
Source: RNAcentral